This 422-nucleotide ribosomal RNA is filed under the name uncultured prokaryote. RNAcentral's name for it is "bacterial SSU rRNA". It matches the Rfam family "Bacterial small subunit ribosomal RNA", at positions 355 to 774 of the family's 1533-position model. The record is from RNAcentral.
UGAGGAAUAUUGGUCAAUGGGCGAAAGCCUGAACCAGCCAAGUAGCGUGCAGGAUGACGGCCCUAUGGGUUGUAAACUGCUUUUAUACAGGAAUAAAGUUAGCCACGUGUGGUUAUUUGUAGGUACUGUAUGAAUAAGGACCGGCUAAUUCCGUGCCAGCAGCCGCGGUAAUACGGCAGGUCCAGGCGUUAUCCGGAUUUAUUGGGUUUAAAGGGAGCGUAGGCCGUCUGUUAAGCGUGGUGUGAAAUGUAGAUGCUCAACAUCUGAAUUGCAGCGCGAACUGGCAGACUUGAGUGUGCGCAACGUAGGCGGAAUUCGUUGUGUAGCGGUGAAAUGCUUAGAUAUCACGAAGAACUCCGAUUGCGAAGGCAGCUUACGGGAGCACAACUGACGCUGAAGCUCGAAAGUGCGGGUAUCGAACA